This 559-nucleotide ribosomal RNA is filed under the name uncultured archaeon. RNAcentral's name for it is "bacterial SSU rRNA". It matches the Rfam family "Archaeal small subunit ribosomal RNA", at positions 320 to 879 of the family's 1478-position model. The record is from RNAcentral.
GCCCUUCGGGGCGCCCGCCGCUUCCAUUAUUUAUCAUGCCGGCAACGGCAAUCACGGGACCUCGAGUGCCAGGUUACAAAUCUGGCUGUCGUGAUGCCUAAAAAGCAUUGCAUAGCAAGGGCCGGGCAAGACCGGUGCCAGCCGCCGCGGUAACACCGGCGGCUCGAGUGGUAACCGUUAUUAUUGGGUCUAAAGGGUCUGUAGCCGGCCGGAUAAGUCUCUUGGGAAAUCCAGCAGCUCAACUGUUGGGCUUUCAGGAGAUACUGUCUGGCUCGAGGCCGGGAGAGGUGAGAGGUACUUCAGGGGUAGGGGUGAAAUCUUGUAAUCCUUGAAGGACCACCAGUGGCGAAGGCGUCUCACCAGAACGGACCUGGCGGCAAGGGACGAAAGCUAGGGGCACGAACCGGAUUAUAUACCCGGGUAGUCCUAGCCGUAAACGAUACUCGCUAGGUGUCGGCCACGGUGCGACCGUUGUCGGUGCCGUAGGGAAGCCGUGAAGCGAGCCACCUGGGAAGUACGGCCGCAAGGCUGAAACUUAAAGGAAUUGGCGGGGGAGCAC